UACAGAGGUCUCAAGCGUUGUUCGGAUUCAUUGGGCGUAAAGAGCUCGUAGGCGGUUUGGUAAGUCAGGUGUGAAAUCUCCACGCUCAACGUGGAGGGGCCACCUGAUACUGCCAUGACUGGAGUCCGGUAGAGGAGUGUGGAAUUCCCGGUGUAGCGGUGAAAUGCGCAGAUAUCGGGAGGAACACCCGUAGCGAAGGCGGCACUCUGGGCCGGUACUGACGCUGAGGAGCGAAAGCGUGGGGAGCAAACAGG
Molecule: ribosomal RNA, 254 nt
Filed under: uncultured bacterium
Lineage: Bacteria
Description: partial 16S ribosomal RNA
Rfam family: Bacterial small subunit ribosomal RNA
Source: RNAcentral